GGGUUGUGAGGUUAAGCGACUAAGCGUACACGGUGGAUGCCCUGGCAGUCAGAGGCGAUGAAGGACGUGCUAAUCUGCGAUAAGCGUCGGUAAGGUGAUAUGAACCGUUAUAACCGGCGAUUUCCGAAUGGGGAAACCCAGUGUGUUUCGACACACUAUCAUUAACUGAAUCCAUAGGUUAAUGAGGCGAACCGGGGGAACUGAAACAUCUAAGUACCCCGAGGAAAAGAAAUCAACCGAGAUUCCCCCAGUAGCGGCGAGCGAACGGGGAGCAGCCCAGAGCCUGAAUCAGUGUGUGUGUUAGUGGAAGCGUCUGGAAAGGCGCGCGAUACAGGGUGACAGCCCCGUACACAAAAAUGCACAUGCUGUGAGCUCGAUGAGUAGGGCGGGACACGUGGUAUCCUGUCUGAAUAUGGGGGGACCAUCCUCCAAGGCUAAAUACUCCUGACUGACCGAUAGUGAACCAGUACCGUGAGGGAAAGGCGAAAAGAACCCCGGCGAGGGGAGUGAAAAAGAACCUGAAACCGUGUACGUACAAGCAGUGGGAGCACGCUUAGGCGUGUGACUGCGUACCUUUUGUAUAAUGGGUCAGCGACUUAUAUUCUGUAGCAAGGUUAACCGAAUAGGGGAGCCGAAGGGAAACCGAGUCUUAACUGGGCGUUAAGUUGCAGGGUAUAGACCCGAAACCCGGUGAUCUAGCCAUGGGCAGGUUGAAGGUUGGGUAACACUAACUGGAGGACCGAACCGACUAAUGUUGAAAAAUUAGCGGAUGACUUGUGGCUGGGGGUGAAAGGCCAAUCAAACCGGGAGAUAGCUGGUUCUCCCCGAAAGCUAUUUAGGUAGCGCCUCGUGAAUUCAUCUCCGGGGGUAGAGCACUGUUUCGGCAAGGGGGUCAUCCCGACUUACCAACCCGAUGCAAACUGCGAAUACCGGAGAAUGUUAUCACGGGAGACACACGGCGGGUGCUAACGUCCGUCGUGAAGAGGGAAACAACCCAGACCGCCAGCUAAGGUCCCAAAGUCAUGGUUAAGUGGGAAACGAUGUGGGAAGGCCCAGACAGCCAGGAUGUUGGCUUAGAAGCAGCCAUCAUUUAAAGAAAGCGUAAUAGCUCACUGGUCGAGUCGGCCUGCGCGGAAGAUGUAACGGGGCUAAACCAUGCACCGAAGCUGCGGCAGCGACACUAUGUGUUGUUGGGUAGGGGAGCGUUCUGUAAGCCUGUGAAGGUGUACUGUGAGGUAUGCUGGAGGUAUCAGAAGUGCGAAUGCUGACAUAAGUAACGAUAAAGCGGGUGAAAAGCCCGCUCGCCGGAAGACCAAGGGUUCCUGUCCAACGUUAAUCGGGGCAGGGUGAGUCGACCCCUAAGGCGAGGCCGAAAGGCGUAGUCGAUGGGAAACAGGUUAAUAUUCCUGUACUUGGUGUUACUGCGAAGGGGGGACGGAGAAGGCUAUGUUGGCCGGGCGACGGUUGUCCCGGUUUAAGCGUGUAGGCUGGUUUUCCAGGCAAAUCCGGAAAAUCAAGGCUGAGGCGUGAUGACGAGGCACUACGGUGCUGAAGCAACAAAUGCCCUGCUUCCAGGAAAAGCCUCUAAGCAUCAGGUAACAUCAAAUCGUACCCCAAACCGACACAGGUGGUCAGGUAGAGAAUACCAAGGCGCUUGAGAGAACUCGGGUGAAGGAACUAGGCAAAAUGGUGCCGUAACUUCGGGAGAAGGCACGCUGAUAUGUAGGUGAAGUCCCUCGCGGAUGGAGCUGAAAUCAGUCGAAGAUACCAGCUGGCUGCAACUGUUUAUUAAAAACACAGCACUGUGCAAACACGAAAGUGGACGUAUACGGUGUGACGCCUGCCCGGUGCCGGAAGGUUAAUUGAUGGGGUUAGCGCAAGCGAAGCUCUUGAUCGAAGCCCCGGUAAACGGCGGCCGUAACUAUAACGGUCCUAAGGUAGCGAAAUUCCUUGUCGGGUAAGUUCCGACCUGCACGAAUGGCGUAAUGAUGGCCAGGCUGUCUCCACCCGAGACUCAGUGAAAUUGAACUCGCUGUGAAGAUGCAGUGUACCCGCGGCAAGACGGAAAGACCCCGUGAACCUUUACUAUAGCUUGACACUGAACAUUGAGCCUUGAUGUGUAGGAUAGGUGGGAGGCUUAGAAGUGUGGACGCCAGUCUGCAUGGAGCCGGCCUUGAAAUACCACCCUUUAAUGUUUGAUGUUCUAACGUGGACCCGUAAUCCGGGUUGCGGACAGUGUCUGGUGGGUAGUUUGACUGGGGCGGUCUCCUCCUAAAGAGUAACGGAGGAGCACGAAGGUUGGCUAAUCCUGGUCGGACAUCAGGAGGUUAGUGCAAUGGCAUAAGCCAGCUUGACUGCGAGCGUGACGGCGCGAGCAGGUGCGAAAGCAGGUCAUAGUGAUCCGGUGGUUCUGAAUGGAAGGGCCAUCGCUCAACGGAUAAAAGGUACUCCGGGGAUAACAGGCUGAUACCGCCCAAGAGUUCAUAUCGACGGCGGUGUUUGGCACCUCGAUGUCGGCUCAUCACAUCCUGGGGCUGAAGUAGGUCCCAAGGGUAUGGCUGUUCGCCAUUUAAAGUGGUACGCGAGCUGGGUUUAGAACGUCGUGAGACAGUUCGGUCCCUAUCUGCCGUGGGCGCUGGAGAACUGAGGGGGGCUGCUCCUAGUACGAGAGGACCGGAGUGGACGCAUCACUGGUGUUCGGGUUGUCAUGCCAAUGGCACUGCCCGGUAGCUAAAUGCGGAAGAGAUAAGUGCUGAAAGCAUCUAAGCACGAAACUUGCCCCGAGAUGAGUUCUCCCUGACUCCUUGAGAGUCCUGAAGGAACGUUGAAGACGACGACGUUGAUAGGCCGGGUGUGUAAGCGCAGCGAUGCGUUGAGCUAACCGGUACUAAUGAACCGUGAGGCUUAACCUUACAACGCCGAAGGUGUUU
Molecule: ribosomal RNA, 2930 nt
Filed under: Escherichia coli
Lineage: Bacteria; Pseudomonadati; Pseudomonadota; Gammaproteobacteria; Enterobacterales; Enterobacteriaceae
Description: 23S ribosomal RNA
Rfam family: Bacterial large subunit ribosomal RNA
Source: RNAcentral